UUGCCGGCGACCGGCGACGGGUGCGUAACGCGUAUGUAACCUACCUUUGACAGGGGGAUAACAUCGAGAAAUUGGUACUAAUACCCCAUAACAUCACCGGAGGCAUCUUCGGUGGUUGAAAACUCAGGUGGUCAGAGAUGGACAUGCGUUGUAUUAGCUAGUUGGUGAGGUAACGGCUCACCAAGGCGACGAUACAUAGGGGGACUGAGAGGUCAACCCCCCCACAUUGGUACUGAGACACGGCCCAAACUCCUACGGGAGGCAGCAG
Molecule: ribosomal RNA, 268 nt
Filed under: uncultured bacterium
Lineage: Bacteria
Description: partial 16S ribosomal RNA
Rfam family: Bacterial small subunit ribosomal RNA
Source: RNAcentral